AUCACUUCCCGGCCUUUUGACUAAGAUCAAGUGUAGUAUCUAUUCUCACCAGUUUAAUAUCUCAUACAUCCUCUAUCUGAGGACAAUAUAUUCAACGGAUUUUUAAAGCAGGGAAGUGGAAUAGGAGCUUGCUCCAUCCAGUCCACACAUGGACCCAGUACAGCAGUACUUCUGGGGAUAGUACACCCCUC
This is a small nuclear RNA of Molossus molossus (Pallas's mastiff bat), 191 nucleotides long. RefSeq annotates it as U2 spliceosomal RNA. The record is from RefSeq and is a predicted model, not a curated record. NCBI's taxonomy places the organism in Eukaryota, Metazoa, Chordata, Mammalia, Chiroptera, Molossidae. The transcript has a single exon.